AGGUCAAGUGAAGAAGGGCGCACGGUGAAUGCCUUGGCACUGGAAGCCGAUGAAGGACGCGACUAACCGCGAAAGUCUUCGGGGAGCCGUAAGUAGGCUUUGAUCCGGAGGUCUCCGAAUGGGGGAACCCAGCAUGUGCAGACAUGCUAUCCUUAAGUGAAUACAUAGCUUAAGGAGGGAACACGCAGUGAACUGAAACAUCUAAGUAGCUGCAGGAAGAGAAAGAAAUAUCGAUUUCCCAAGUAGCGGCGAGCGAACAGGAAAGAGCCCAAACCGGCAGAUUUAUCUGCCGGGGUUGUAGGACUGAGACAUGGCACUUCAGAGGAUAGCAGAAGCGUUUGGGAAAGCGCGCCAGAGAGGGUGAGAGCCCCGUAAGCGAAAUCCAAAGGAGGCCUAUCAGUAUCCUGAGUAGGGCGGGACACGUGAAAUCCCGUUUGAAUCCGCGAGGACCAUCUCGCAAGGCUAAAUACUAACCAGUGACCGAUAGUGAACCAGUACCGUGAGGGAAAGGUGAAAAGAACCCCGGGAGGGGAGUGAAAGAGAACCUGAAACCGUGUGCCUACAAGUAGUCAGAGCCCGUUAACGGGUAAUGGCGUGCCUUUUGUAGAAUGAACCGGCGAGUUGCGUUAGUCAGCAAGGUUAAGUCAGAAAAGACGGAGCCGUAGCGAAAGCGAGUCUGAAGAGGGCGAGCAGUUGGCUGACGCAGACCCGAAACCAAGUGACCUACCCAUGACCAGGUUGAAGGCGCGGUAAAACGCGCUGGAGGACCGAACCCACGUAAGUUGAAAAUUGCGGGGAUGAGUUGUGGGUAGCGGUGAAAUUCCAAACGAACUUGGAGAUAGCUGGUUCUCUCCGAAAUAGCUUUAGGGCUAGCCUCGCAAAGAGGAUGCUGGAGGUAGAGCUCUGUUUGGACUAGGGGCCCGUCAAGGGUUACUGAAUUCAGAUAAACUGCGAAUUCCAGACAUUUAUGUGCGGGAGUCAGACUGCGAGUGAUAAGAUCCGUAGUCGAAAGGGAAACAGCCCAGAUCACCAGUUAAGGUCCCAAAAUUCAUGCUAAGUGGAAAAGGAUGUGGAGUUGCGCAGACAACUAGGACGUUGGCUCAGAAGCAGCCAUCAUUCAAAGAGUGC
This 1128-nucleotide ribosomal RNA is filed under the name Lactobacillus delbrueckii subsp. bulgaricus. Its description in RNAcentral is "partial 23S ribosomal RNA". It matches the Rfam family "Bacterial large subunit ribosomal RNA", at positions 1 to 1133 of the family's 2925-position model. The record is from RNAcentral. Lineage: Bacteria; Bacillati; Bacillota; Bacilli; Lactobacillales; Lactobacillaceae.